RNAcentral lists this ribosomal RNA (522 nucleotides) under uncultured bacterium. RNAcentral's name for it is "bacterial SSU rRNA". It matches the Rfam family "Archaeal small subunit ribosomal RNA", at positions 724 to 1255 of the family's 1478-position model. The record is from RNAcentral.
AGAGAAUAGAUACCCCGGUAGUCCCAGCUGUAAACGAUGCAGACUAGGUGUUUGGACGGCCACGUGCCGUUCUAGUGCCGCAGGGAAGCUGUUAAGUCUGCCGCCUGGGGAGUACGAUCGCAAGAUUGAAACUUAAAGGAAUUAGCGGGGGAGCACCACAAGGGGUGAAGCUUGCGGUUUAAUUGGAGUCAACGCCGGAAAUCUCACCGGGAGCGACAGCAGUAUGAAAGCCAGAUUGAAGGUCUUGCUAGACGAGCUGAGAGGAGGUGCAUGGCCGUCGCCAGUUCGUGCCGUGAGGUGUCCUGUUAAGUCAGGCAACGAUCGAGACCCGCGUCCUCUGUUGCAACCAGCUUUGUGCUGGGCACACUGAGGAGACCGCCACUGAUAAAGUGGAGGAAGGAGCGGGCCACGGCAGGUCAGUAUGCCCGAAUCUCCGGGCACACGCGAGCUGCAAUGGCAAGUACAAUGGGUUCCGACCUCGAAAGGGGGAGGCAAUCUCGAAAGCUUGCCGUAGUUGGAAUU